This 254-nucleotide ribosomal RNA is filed under the name uncultured bacterium. RNAcentral's name for it is "partial 16S ribosomal RNA". It matches the Rfam family "Bacterial small subunit ribosomal RNA", at positions 524 to 776 of the family's 1533-position model. The record is from RNAcentral.
UACGUAGGGUGCAAGCGUUGUCCGGAAUCACUGGGCGUAAAGCGCACGUAGGCGGCUUCUUAAGUCAGGGGUGAAAUCCUGGAGCUCAACUCCAGAACUGCCUUUGAUACUGGGAGACUUGGAGUCCGGGAGAGGUGAGUGGAACUGCGAGUGUAGAGGUGAAAUUCGUAGAUAUUCGCAAGAACACCAGUGGCGAAGGCGGCUCACUGGCCCGGUACUGACGCUGAGGUGCGAAAGCGUGGGGAGCAAACAGG